This 103-nucleotide small RNA is filed under the name Sinorhizobium meliloti 2011. RNAcentral describes it as "putative ncRNA". Lineage: Bacteria; Pseudomonadati; Pseudomonadota; Alphaproteobacteria; Hyphomicrobiales; Rhizobiaceae. The record is from RNAcentral.
GAGCCUGCUCGUCGAGAAGACGCGACAAUUCCAUCGAGCGCCCGGCGAGCAUCGAGUUGAGUUCGCGGGUGCUUUCGUCGAGCGUGCUGCGGAUGGACUGACC